AGGGAUGAUGCUGCUCAAGUUGAAGCUCGGGUAUAAUUUUCUGACCGCAUCUUGGCCAUCUUCAUACCCGACACAAUAUGAGAUGAAGCUACUUUCGAGGAUCUCUUCCUUGAAUUCUUUCGAACCUCGAAAAUUCUCGACUACCUGACCCAAUGCUUCUCUUGCCGACUCUACUUCUGCCUUGGCCAAAUCAGCAUCGGCUCAAGCAGAAGACAAUUCUUCUUCGACCAGUGCCAACCUUUCCAGGC
Molecule: long non-coding RNA, 248 nt
Filed under: Elaeis guineensis (African oil palm)
Lineage: Eukaryota; Viridiplantae; Streptophyta; Magnoliopsida; Arecales; Arecaceae
Description: long non-coding RNA (EGUI_LNC074235)
Source: RNAcentral